This 842-nucleotide ribosomal RNA is filed under the name uncultured bacterium. RNAcentral describes it as "bacterial SSU rRNA". It matches the Rfam family "Bacterial small subunit ribosomal RNA", at positions 28 to 896 of the family's 1533-position model. The record is from RNAcentral.
GACGAACGCUGGCGGCGUGCUUUACCCAUGCAAGUCGAACGGGGGUCGCAAGACCCCAGUGGCAGACGGCUGAGUAACACGUGAGUGACCUGCCCAGAGGCGGGGGAUAGCCAUCCGAAAGGAUGGGUAAUACCGCGUAAGUUCACCAGGGUAGAGCCUGGUGAGGAAAGCCGAAAGGCGCCUUUGGAGGGGCUCGCGGCCCAUCAGGUAGUUGGCGAGGUAACGGCUCACCAAGCUGAUGACGGGUAGCUGGUCUGAGAGGAUGAUCAGCCAGACUGGGACUGAGAGACGGCCCAGACUCCUACGGGGGGCAGCAGGGGGGAAUCUUGGACAAUGGGGGCAACCCUGAUCCAGCGACGCCGCGUGGAGGACGAAGGUCUUCGGAUCGUAAACUCCUUUUGUCAGGGAAGAUGAUGACGGUACCUGGCGAAUAAGCCCCGGCUAACUACGUGCCAGCAGCCGCGGUAAUACGUAGGGGGCGAGCGUUGUCCGGAUUUACUGGGCGUAAAGAGCGCGUAGGCGGCUUGUUAAGUUGGCUGUGAAAACUCCCGGCUCAACUGGGAGAGGUCGGCCGAGACUGGCAGGCUUGAGGGCGGUAGAGGAAGGUGGAAUUCCGGGUGUAGUGGUGAAAUGCGUAGAUAUCCGGAGGAACACCGUUGGCGAAGGCGGCCUUCUGGGCCGUACCUGACGCUGAGGCGCGAAAGCGUGGGGAGCGAACUGAAUUAGAUACUCAGGUAGUCCACGCCCUAAACGAUGGACGCUAGGUGUAGGGGGUAUCGACCCCUCCUGUGCCGAAGCUAACGCAUUAAGCGUCCCGCCUGGGGAGUACGGCCGCAAGGCUA